Molecule: ribosomal RNA, 468 nt
Filed under: uncultured bacterium
Lineage: Bacteria
Description: partial 16S ribosomal RNA
Rfam family: Bacterial small subunit ribosomal RNA
Source: RNAcentral
GACGAACGCUGGCGGCGUGCUUAACACAUGCAAGUCGAACGGAAACGCCCUGCUUUUUUGGGGUUCUCGAGUGGCGAUCGGGUGCGUAACACGUGAGUAUCCUGCUCUUGUCUUUCGUAUAACUUCAGGUAACUAGGGUUACUACCGUAUAGGAGCUCCUCUUGCAUGGUGGGCGUUGGAAAGUUUCGGCGGUUGGGGAUGGACUCGCGGCUUAUCAGCUUGUUGGUGGGCUAGUGGCUUACCAAGGCUUUGACGGGUCGCCGGCCUGAGAGGGUGGCCGGGCACAUGGGGACUGAGAUACGGCGCAGACGCCUACGGGAGGCAACAGUGGGGAAUAUUACACAAUGAGCGGAAGCCUGAUGCAGCAACGCCGGGUGCGGGAUGACGGCCUUCGGGGAGUAAACAGCAUUAGCCUGUGACGAAGCGGGAGUGACGGUAAUGGGAAAAGAAGCACCGGCUAACUACGUG